GUUGUAUAGUCAAGUAAUUAAGUGCAUGUGGUGGAUGCCUUGGCAGUCAGAGGCGAUGAAAGACGUGAUAGCCUGCGAAAAGCUCCGGGGAGGCGGCAAAUAUCCUUUGAUCCGGAGAUGUCUGAAUGGGGGAACCCACCUACUUUAAGGUAGGUAUUGCAACAUGAAUACAUAGUGUUGCAAGGCGAACGAGGGGAAGUGAAACAUCUCAGUACCCUUAGGAAAAGAAAUCAAUUGAGAUUCCCUCAGUAGCGGCGAGCGAACGGGGAUCAGCCCAUUAAGUUAUGUGUGUUUUAGUGGAACGCUCUGGGAAGUGCGAACGUAGAGGGUGAUAUUCCCGUACACGAAAGGGCACACAUAAUGAUGACGAGUAGGGCGAGGCACGUGAAACCUUGUCUGAAUAUGGGGGGACCAUCCUCCAAGGCUAAAUACUCCUGACUGACCGAUAGUGAACCUGUACCGUGAGGGAAAGGCGAAAAGAACCCCUGUGAGGGGAGUGAAAUAGAUCCUGAAACCGCAUGCAUACAAGCAGUGGGAGCACCUUCGUGGUGUGACUGCGUACCUUUUGUAUAAUGGGUCAGCGACUUAUAUUCAGUAGCGAGGUUAACCGUAUAGGGGAGCCGUAGAGAAAUCGAGUCUUAAUAGGGCGUUUAGUUGCUGGGUAUAGACCCGAAACCAGGCGAUCUAUCCAUGAGCAGGUUGAAGGUUGGGUAACACUAACUGGAGGACCGAACCCACUGUCGUUGAAAAGCCAGGGGAUGACUUGUGGAUAGGGGUGAAAGGCUAAUCAAGCCUGGUGAUAGCUGGUUCUCCCCGAAAGCUAUUUAGGUAGCGCCUCGGACGAAUACCAUAGGGGGUAGAGCACUGUUUCGGCUAGGGGGUCAUCCCGACUUACCAAACCGAUGCAAACUCCGAAUACCUAUGAGUACUAUCCGGGAGACAGACUGCGGGUGCUAACGUCCGUAGUCAAGAGGAAAACAAUCCAGACCGCCAGCUAAGGCCCCAAAAUCAUAGUUAAGUGGGAAACGAUGUGGGAAGGCAUAGACAGCUAGGAGGUUGGCUUAGAAGCAGCCACCCUUUAAAGAAAGCGUAAUAGCUCACUAGUCGAGUCGGCCUGCGCGGAAGAUGUAACGGGGCUAAAACUAUGUGCCGAAGCUGCGGAUGUAUACUUUGUAUACGUGGUAGGGGAGCGUUCUGUAAGCCGAUGAAGGUGUGUUGAGAAGCAUGCUGGAGGUAUCAGAAGUGCGAAUGCUGACGUGAGUAACGACAAAACGGGUGAAAAACCCGUUCGCCGAAAGACCAAGGGUUCCAGUCCAACGUUAAUCGGGGCUGGGUGAGUCGACCCCUAAGGCGAGGCCGAAAGGCGUAGUCGAUGGGAAAAUGGUUAAUAUUCCAUUACUUCUGUGUAAUGCGAUGAGAGGACGGAGAAGGCUAAAUCAGCCUGGCGUUGGUUGUCCAGGUGAAAGGAUGUAGGCAUGUAUCUUAGGCAAAUCCGGGGUACUCUAUGCUGAGAUCUGAUAGCAAGCUGUACUUGUACAGCGAAGUGGUUGAUGCCAUGCUUCCAGGAAAAGUCUCUAAGCUUCAGUUACACAGGAAUCGUACCCGAAACCGACACAGGUGGUCAGGUCGAGUAGACCAAGGCGCUUGAGAGAACUCUGCUGAAGGAACUAGGCAAAAUGGUACCGUAACUUCGGGAGAAGGUACGCUGUUGUUGGUGAUGGAACUCGCUUCCUGAGCUGACGACAGCCGCAGAAACCAGGCCGCUGCAACUGUUUAUUAAAAACAUAGCACUCUGCAAACACGAAAGUGGACGUAUAGGGUGUGAUGCCUGCCCGGUGCUGGAAGGUUAAUUGAUGGGGUUAGCGUAAGCGAAGCUCUUGAUCGAAGCCCCAGUAAACGGCGGCCGUAACUAUAACGGUCCUAAGGUAGCGAAAUUCCUUGUCGGGUAAGUUCCGACCUGCACGAAUGGCAUAAUGAUGGCGGCGCUGUCUCCAGCAGAGGCUCAGUGAAAUCGAAAUCGCUGUGAAGAUGCAGUGUACCCGCGGCUAGACGGAAAGACCCCGUGAACCUUUACUGCAGCUUGACACUGAACUUUGACCUUACUUGUGUAGGAUAGGUGGGAGGCUUUGAAGCUGGAACGCUAGUUCCAGUGGAGCCGUCCUUGAAAUACCACCCUGGUAAUGUUGAGGUUCUAACUCUGUCCCGUGAUCCGGGACGAGGACCGUGUCUGGUGGGUAGUUUGACUGGGGCGGUCUCCUCCUAAAGAGUAACGGAGGAGUACGAAGGUGCGCUCAGCGUGGUCGGAAAUCACGCGUAGAGUAUAAAGGCAAAAGCGCGCUUAACUGCGAGACCCACAAGUCGAGCAGGUACGAAAGUAGGUCUUAGUGAUCCGGUGGUUCUGUAUGGAAGGGCCAUCGCUCAACGGAUAAAAGGUACUCUGGGGAUAACAGGCUGAUACCGCCCAAGAGUUCAUAUCGACGGCGGUGUUUGGCACCUCGAUGUCGGCUCAUCUCAUCCUGGGGCUGAAGCAGGUCCCAAGGGUAUGGCUGUUCGCCAUUUAAAGAGGUACGCGAGCUGGGUUUAGAACGUCGUGAGACAGUUCGGUCCCUAUCUACCGUGGGCGCUGGAAAUUUGAGAGGAUCUGCUCCUAGUACGAGAGGACCAGAGUGGACGAACCUCUGGUGUACCGGUUGUGACGCCAGUCGCAUCGCCGGGUAGCUAUGUUCGGAAGGGAUAACCGCUGAAAGCAUCUAAGCGGGAAGCCUACCUCAAGAUAAGAUUUCCCUAGGACUUUAUGUCCUCUAAAGAGCCGUUCGAGACUAGGACGUUGAUAGGUUGGAUGUGGAAGCAUAGUGAUAUGUGAAGCUGACCAAUACUAAUUGCUCGUGAGGCUUGACUAUACAACACCCAAGCAGUUG
RNAcentral lists this ribosomal RNA (2918 nucleotides) under Acinetobacter baumannii. RNAcentral describes it as "23S ribosomal RNA". It matches the Rfam family "Bacterial large subunit ribosomal RNA". The record is from RNAcentral. Lineage: Bacteria; Pseudomonadati; Pseudomonadota; Gammaproteobacteria; Moraxellales; Moraxellaceae.